GAUGAACGCUGGCGGCGUGCCUAACACAUGCAAGUCGAACGGGGCCGUAGAUGAAGCAGUGUGCUUGCACAGUGCGGAAGAUGCGGCCUAGUGGCGGACGGGUGAGUAACGCGUGGGCAACCUGCCCUGCACAGGGGGAUAACAAUUGGAAACAGUUGCUAAUACCGCAUAUGCGCACAUGCCCGCAUGGGCGAGUGCGGAAAGCGAACACGGUGCAGGAUGGGCCCGCGUCCGAUCAGCUAGUUGGCGGGGUGAAGGCCCACCAAGGCGACGACCGGUAGCCGGCCUGAGAGGGCGGACGGCCACAUUGGGACUGAGACACGGCCCAG
RNAcentral lists this ribosomal RNA (329 nucleotides) under uncultured bacterium. Its description in RNAcentral is "bacterial SSU rRNA". It matches the Rfam family "Bacterial small subunit ribosomal RNA", at positions 28 to 334 of the family's 1533-position model. The record is from RNAcentral.